Molecule: ribosomal RNA, 497 nt
Filed under: uncultured bacterium
Lineage: Bacteria
Description: partial 16S ribosomal RNA
Rfam family: Bacterial small subunit ribosomal RNA
Source: RNAcentral
GAUGAACGCUGGCGGCGUGCCUAAUACAUGCAAGUCGAGCGAACAGACGAGGAACUUGCUCCUCUGACGUUAGCGGCGGACGGGUGAGUAACACGUGGAUAACCUACCUAUAAGACUGGGAUAACUUCGGGAAACCGGAGCUAAUACCGGAUAAUAUGUUGAAUCGCAUGGUUCAACAGUGAAAGACGGUCUUGCUGUCACUUAUAGAUGGAUCCGCGCCGCAUUAGCUAGUUGGUAAGGUAACGGCUUACCAAGGCAACGAUGCGUAGCCGACCUGAGAGGGUGAUCGGCCACACUGGAACUGAGACACGGUCCAGACUCCUACGGGAGGCAGCAGUAGGGAAUCUUCCGCAAUGGGCGAAAGCCUGACGGAGCAACGCCGCGUGAGUGAAGAAGGUCUUCGGAUCGUAAAACUCUGUUAUUAGGGAAGAACAAAUGUGUAAGUAACUAUGCACGUCUUGACGGUACCUAAUCAGAAAGCCACGGCUAACUACGUG